Long non-coding RNA from Neofelis nebulosa (Clouded leopard), 2232 nucleotides. RefSeq lists it as uncharacterized. Lineage: Eukaryota; Metazoa; Chordata; Mammalia; Carnivora; Felidae. The transcript is spliced from 2 exons. The record is from RefSeq and is a predicted model, not a curated record.
CGCGGCCGGGGGAGUUGGGGGCGGUGCGCGCGGCCGGAGGAGGGGGAGCGGUGAGCGCGGCCGCGGGAGGGGGCGGGGCCGGAGCGCCCACCCUCGGCCGCAGCCCCACCCCCGCCACCGGACUCGCCCCCGCGCGCGCAGCCCCCAGGUUGGCCCUGCGAAGCGCGCGCUAGGGUCCGCCAGAGUCCCUGGCGCGGCCCCUAGGGACCGACCUGAGCGCUGCAAGGGGUCCUCAGCCCGCUGCGCUCACCCUAAAGUGAGGCGUCCGUUGGCCCCUCUAGGUAUGGUCGCCUUCCCCCUCUGUCGCCGCUUGCAGCUUUGCGCCUCACCUGGCUCUUGGCGCCGUUGAAUGUGCCAAAUCCCUUUCUUACUCAUUGGGUUUAGGGUCUCUCUCCCCCACUAGAAACCCUCCGGGACAGAGUUUACGGUCGGUUUUAUUCCUGGCCGGGCCCUCAGGACUGGCACGCAGUAGGCGCUCCGUAAUCUGGUUAACACUGUGGGAUGAGUGAAUUUGACUAUCACCCACCCGUCUAUCAGUUGUCCAGCUUACCUCCUGCUACAGCUUGGUUGAACCUGGACACCAUUACGCUGAGUGAAGGAAGUCAGACACCAGAAGGACACACAGGGUAUGAUUUUAGUUACAUGAAGUGUCCCGAACAGGGGAACCCAGGGAGACAAAGUAGGUUGGUGGUUGCCUGGGUCUGGCGGGGCUGGGAGGAAACGGGGGCGGCCGUACAAGGGAUUUCUCCUUGGGGGUGAUAAAAAUGUUCUGGAAUUGGGUAAUAGUGAUGAUUGCACAACUCUGAAUAUACCAAAAGCCAUUGAAUUGUACCAUUUAAAAAGGCAAAUUUAUGGUAUGCGAAUUACCUCUCAGUAAAGCUGUUACAAAAAGCAAAUCAAACAAAAGGCUCUCUCUCCUUGUUUUUCUACUCCCUGUCUUCUCUGGGAAGGAUUCAGCGCGUCUUUCAGGGCCCCCCGUAAAGCAGGGGCUGGUUGCAGCCCUGAAGAUGGGCCAGAAAAGAAUAGAAAAUAGGGAUGGGGAGUCAGCAUGGCCGGGGAAAUUCUCGAGGCUGGUCUUUGCCCUUUCCGUGCUAGACACAACACUCAUGGGCCUUUUUCAAAGAUGACUUGGGACCAUUGGGAUUUGUAUUAAAUAUCUUUGACUGGUGGAGAAACAAAAGUAUAGAAAGUGUCUUUUUAAUUUAAAGGGACUUAGGGUAGGGGGCGCCUGGGUGGCUCAGUCGGUUGAGCCUCUGACUUCGGCUCAGGUCAUAAUCUGAGGGUUUGUGAGUUCGAGCCCCGCGUCGGGCUCUGGGCUGACAGCUCGGAGCCUGGAGCCCGCUUCGGAUUCUGGGUCUCCCUCUCUCUCUCUGCCCCUCCCCUGCUCUCGCACUUUCUCUCUCUCUCUCAAAAUUAAAUGAACGUUAAAAAAAUAAAAUAAAAUAAAGGGACUUAGGGUAAAACUGACGUUGGAACCACCUUCAGGCCUUCAGUCAGGGACCAUCUUUACUCGGAAGCCUUCCUUGCUCAUCUUUGACCCUCCCUCGAUCUAUGUCUACCCCCCCCCCCCGAAAAAAGCUAAUCCCACAUCUUCUUCUAUGUCUGUAUCUUGCCAUGUGAAUGUCUGCUAUUCCUUGAACUCACGCCCACCUUCAUUCAUUAGUUCAUUCAACAGACUUGGAGGGAGUUUCUUUUUCUUUUUUUUUUUAACGUUUAUUUAUUUUGGAGACAGAGAGAGACAGAGCAUGAACAGGGGAGGGGCCGAGAGAGAGGGAGACACAGAAUCGGAAGCAGGCUCCAGGUUCUGAGCCGUCAGCCCAGAGCCCGACGCGGGGCUCGAACUCACGGACCGCGAGAUCGUGACCUAAGCUGAAGUCGGACGCCCAACCGACGGAGCCACCCAGGCGCCCCGGGAGUUUCUACAAUGCUCCAGGCACUGUGAUGUUGGAUCCUUUCUGAAGGAGAACUCGGACCACAACCGGAUGAGGAGGCCUAGAAUAAGGGCCUGGGACAAGCUCAAGAAUCCACUGGUGACCUUGACCGGAAAAGCAUGCAGACUUCAUGCUGUUUUCCUGUGGAACCUGACUUCAGCCUGUUUUCCCCAACACUUUCACUUUUAUUUCCCCUUUAAUUACUAUUUUCUUUCCAAUUGUAAAAGGAGUGCAUGCUUCAAGGGAAAUACAGAGAAGUCCAAAAGGAAAAGCAAACCACUCCCUUCUGCACCAUCCAGAA